Molecule: long non-coding RNA, 243 nt
Filed under: Panax ginseng (ginseng)
Lineage: Eukaryota; Viridiplantae; Streptophyta; Magnoliopsida; Apiales; Araliaceae
Description: long non-coding RNA (PGIN_LNC012632)
Source: RNAcentral
GAGAUUUCGGUCAUAGGAUUGCACAAUGUCCCAAGAACCCUCCACCGAAAAGAGAUGAAAAAGAGGAAGAAAUAACAUUGGCAAGCCUAGGACCAAGUCGAGGACGUGUGUUUCAGCUUUCAGGCAACCAAAAUUAAGGUAUGAAACUCUUUUAUUAAUUGCAUUUAGUAAUUAGAUAAUGAAUUUCUUGAUUAUGUCAAAUUUGUAUUUUUCUUUAGAUGUUAUUUUUGAAAUUUGGAGGAC